This is a long non-coding RNA of Orcinus orca (killer whale), 903 nucleotides long. RefSeq lists it as uncharacterized. Lineage: Eukaryota; Metazoa; Chordata; Mammalia; Artiodactyla; Delphinidae. The transcript has 2 exons. The record is from RefSeq and is a predicted model, not a curated record.
UAAGCAAGAAAUUUAAACCUAUAUAACCAAUAUUUUACCAAAUAGUUGGAUAUUAAAAACAUACUUCUGAUCAUUAUGUAGGUCAAAGAUAAAGUCGCAAUGGGAAUUAGAAUUUUAUUAAUUCAAUGAUAAUGAAAAUACGCCAUAACAAAACCUGUGGGUUGCAAAUAAAGCUGUGGUCAUAGAGAAGUUUAUGUAUUCCAGUUAUACUCUCUAAAUAUAAAAGGGAAAGGAAUAAAGCAACUAGAAGAUAACCUAUCACCCUGAGGUAGGCAGCUCCUGAACUGUACCUGGUGGGGAAGGCAGGGCAGAACUUCAGGAGGCCAGCUGGGAGCACGGUGAACACCAUGUCAGGAGCAGUCUCCAAGAAAGAGAAUUUAAUGUACAAAGGGAUGCCUAAAAUAUAUUUAAGAGCUAGCACCCUGACCCCUCUUAAGGAUGACUUGUGUUGCUGGGGAAAAAAUAAGAAGUGCUCGAUGUAGAAGGUGAAUAGCUUUAUAAUUCCCAGGAGAAUCUUGGUACCAGGACCACACAAGAAAGAACUUGGAGUCCCCAUGGCUAAUCCAGCAGAGAGAAAAGGAGGAACAGAGAUGCGAGAGAAAAUAAAGGGAACUCUUGGUGCAAUUCGGUGCUGCUGCAGGCCCAAGUCCAGAUUUCUGUGUGUGUGUGUGUCCCCAUGAUGAAAACAUCAUUAAAGUAAAAUAUCAUGAAUAGACUCUUAAGAAGCAGAGUCUACUUAAAGUCCUGGAAAAUAUGAAAGCACUAAUAUUCAUGGACAACUCUACACUCUGAAAGUUACUCCAAAUUUUGUUGAUCUCUCUUUUGUCUAGGAGUUUUUCAAAUUUUCUACCAUGAUCAUUUGUUAGUUUUAUAAUUACAUAAUAAAGGCAUUACAUCAUACAA